Non-coding RNA from Pelobates cultripes (western spadefoot toad), 289 nucleotides. NCBI's taxonomy places the organism in Eukaryota, Metazoa, Chordata, Amphibia, Anura, Pelobatidae. The record is from the annotation of a GenBank genome assembly.
UCUAAAAUCACCACCUCCUCUCCCUCCAGGUGGAAGCAGCUCACUUGGGUUUCCCAUUAUAGGAUUUCUCCCCCACUGCUCCAGCACCUCAUCUCCCUGCUCUUACCCCCCAGCAUCCUACCUACUCCCAUCCACUCAUCCCACCUCCUCUGCCUGCAAGUCAGCCUGAGUCACGUGUCAGUGCCAGCGGCAAGAACAGAAACAGGAGCUGCUCCUUCCUUGUCUUACAGCCAUACUGUAUUUUACUGCUAAAAGCUCAUUUUUAUUCCAACAUUUUACUCCCGUUCGG